RNAcentral lists this ribosomal RNA (775 nucleotides) under uncultured bacterium. Its description in RNAcentral is "bacterial SSU rRNA". It matches the Rfam family "Bacterial small subunit ribosomal RNA", at positions 8 to 796 of the family's 1533-position model. The record is from RNAcentral.
AGAGUUUGAUCAUGGCUCAGAAUCAACGCUGGCGGCGUGCCUCAGACAUGCAAGUCGAACGAUUAAGACUCUCUUCGGAGAGUGUAUAGAGUGGCGCACGGGUGAGUAACACGUAGGUAAUUUGCCUUCGGGUGGGGAAUAACUUGGGGAAACCCAAGCUAAUACCGCAUAAUGCAGCGGCACCAAAUGGUGACAGUUGUUAAAGCUUUAUGUGCCUGAAGAGAAGCCUGCGGUGGAUUAGGUAGUUGGUAAGGUAAUGGCUUACCAAGCCUGCGAUCCAUAUCCGGUCUUAGAGGACGGUCGGACACACUGACACUGAAUAACGGGUCAGACUCCUACGGGAGGCAGCAGUCGGGAAUUUUGGGCAAUGGGCGAAAGCCUGACCCAGCAACGCCGCGUGAAGGAUGAAGUCCUUCGGGAUGUAAACUUCGGAAGAAUGGGAAGAAUAAAUGACGGUACCAUUUUUAAGCCCCGGCUAACUCCGUGCCAGCAGCCGCGGUAAUACGGAGGGGGCAAGCGUUGUUCGGAUUUACUGGGCGUAAAGGGCGCGUAGGCGGCGCAACAAGUCACUUGUGAAAUCUCCGGGCUUAACUCGGAACUGCCAAGUGAUACUGUAGUGCUAGAGUGCAGAAGGGGCAAUCGGAAUUCUUGGUGUAGCGGUGAAAUGCGUAGAUAUCAAGAGGAACACCAGAGGCGAAGGCGGAUUGCUGGGCUGACACUGACGCUGAGGCGCGAAAGCUAGGGUAGCAAACGGGAUUAGAUACCCCCGUAGUCC